RNAcentral lists this ribosomal RNA (497 nucleotides) under uncultured bacterium. RNAcentral describes it as "partial 16S ribosomal RNA". It matches the Rfam family "Bacterial small subunit ribosomal RNA", at positions 28 to 507 of the family's 1533-position model. The record is from RNAcentral.
GAUGAACGCUGGCGGCGUGCCUAAUACAUGCAAGUCGAGCGAACAGACGAGGAGCUUGCUCCUCUGACGUUAGCGGCGGACGGGUGAGUAACACGUGGAUAACCUACCUAUAAGACUGGGAUAACUUCGGGAAACCGGAGCUAAUAUCGGAUAAUAUAUUGAACCGCAUGGUUCAAUAGUGAAAGACGGUUUUGCUGUCACUUAUAGAUGGAUCCGCGCCGCAUUAGCUAGUUGGUAAGGUAACGGCUUACCAAGGCAACGAUGCGUAGCCGACCUGAGAGGGUGAUCGGCCACACUGGAACUGAGACACGGUCCAGACUCCUACGGGAGGCAGCAGUAGGGAAUCUUCCGCAAUGGGCGAAAGCUUGACGGAGCAACGCCGCGUGAGUGAUGAAGGUCUUCGGAUCGUAAAACUCUGUUAUUAGGGAAGAACAAAUGUGUAAGUAACUAUGCACGUCUUGACGGUACCUAAUCAGAAAGCCACGGCUAACUACGUG